This 253-nucleotide ribosomal RNA is filed under the name uncultured bacterium. Its description in RNAcentral is "partial 16S ribosomal RNA". It matches the Rfam family "Bacterial small subunit ribosomal RNA", at positions 524 to 776 of the family's 1533-position model. The record is from RNAcentral.
UCCGUAGGGUGCAAGCGUUGUCCGGAAUUAUUGGGCGUAAAGAGCUCGUAGGCGGUUUGUCGCGUCUGCCGUGAAAGUCCGGGGCUCAACUCCGGAUCUGCGGUGGGUACGGGCAGACUAGAGUGAUGUAGGGGAGACUGGAAUUCCUGGUGUAGCGGUGAAAUGCGCAGAUAUCAGGAGGAACACCGAUGGCGAAGGCAGGUCUCUGGGCAUUAACUGACGCUGAGGAGCGAAAGCAUGGGGAGCGAACAGG